GUGGAAUGUAGCUCAGUGGUAGAGUGCUUGACUAGCACAUGUGAGGCACUGGGUUAGAUUCACAGCGACACA
RNAcentral lists this transfer RNA (72 nucleotides) under Marmota monax (woodchuck). Its description in RNAcentral is "tRNA.Ala". Lineage: Eukaryota; Metazoa; Chordata; Mammalia; Rodentia; Sciuridae. The record is from RNAcentral.